UACGAAGGGGGCUAGCGUUGCUCGGAAUCACUGGGCGUAAAGCGCACGUAGGCGGAUUUUUAAGUCAGGGGUGAAAUCCUGGAGCUCAACUCCAGAACUGCCUUUGAUACUGGGAAUCUCGAGUCCGGGAGAGGUGAGUGGAACUGCGAGUGUAGAGGUGAAAUUCGUAGAUAUUCGGAGGAACACCAGUGGCGAAGGCGGCUCACUGGCUCGGUACUGACGCUGAGGUGCGAAAGCGUGGGGAGCAAACAGG
This 253-nucleotide ribosomal RNA is filed under the name uncultured bacterium. Its description in RNAcentral is "partial 16S ribosomal RNA". It matches the Rfam family "Bacterial small subunit ribosomal RNA", at positions 524 to 776 of the family's 1533-position model. The record is from RNAcentral.